Molecule: long non-coding RNA, 3345 nt
Organism: Cercocebus atys (sooty mangabey)
Lineage: Eukaryota; Metazoa; Chordata; Mammalia; Primates; Cercopithecidae
Exons: 3
Source: RefSeq, a predicted model, not a curated record
AUUAUAGGCACGAGCCACCGCGCCCGGCCUAGGACUGUUCUUUAAAAGCAAUGAAUAAAGCUUUCUAAAACAUUCUCCACAUCAUUUUUUUUUCCUUUCAGUGUGGACGAGUAAAAACUUUUUCACAGAUUAGCACCUAUGUCAACAGAAAUGAAAACAAGACGAAGGAAAGACAUUAAAAAAGCGACCCGGGGACUCUGACUAAGGGAGUGAAAGAAAGUCAGUCUUCCAAGACGACUGGCAGGUACUCCCAUAAGCAUCAGGCUAACUCUUCUUUACCUCGACGAAGGAAAACCAGUGCACCAACGAAUGGCCACCUAGCCUCUGAAUCGCUCUGACUCCAGGUCUUCAAAAGCCCUUUCCAACUACUAGAUAUGCCUCUGGGCAGAUUCUCUGCUUAUUUGCAACUGUGUGGCUCAAUUGAAUGUUGCUUGGCCUUAGUGGUGAACUAACCCUGCCCAGCUUGUAGAUUUGAGAGGCAGUUUUCUUUUAUUAGCUUUUUGAAUGUACAAUGCAAUAGGCUCCAGGGAAUUUGAAUAGUACAUCAACUUCAUGCCCACUAUUGCAUUCCUCUGGCCUUAGCCUCACGGUUUCGAAUUCAUAACACACAGCACAUGCCUUCCUGCUCCUGCCUGGCCCCUCUUUACAAAGGACUCUUGCUGGAAAGGACAGACGUCCUCAGGCUCUCCGUGACCUACCGCGCUUUCACUGAUGGGAUGCCCUUAUCUGAGGUUUAUCUAUUUGUUCGUCUUUAAUUUGGAUUGCAUGUUUGCCUAGACUUGCUGUUUUAGUUUUUGUGGUAUAUUUUUAAAUCUCUUUUUUAAGUUUCCUAAGUAAUGGGAUUAUCGACAAACGCCUCAGAGAAUAGCAGCCUCAGUCAUUCUCAGCUGAGAAUGCUACAUUCAACCUGACAUGACAUUUUCUUUCUCUCUGCCCCUUGCAGAUGUGAAGCUCCUAACUUUUUCCUUUUGCUUGGUAAUGUCUCUCAGAUAUUUAUCUUUCUAUUCCCAGAGCUGCCCUAGACUUUUAAAAUGGGUCUAUCUGCCUCUUCCCAUAUGCACUGAUACCAAAUCAAUCUUUUGAAACACCAUGAUUAUAAUACCUUUCUACUUAAACAUCUUCAGUAGAUGCUCAACAGAGAGUAAAAUCAACUGAUUUGGACUGUUACCAACCCAAUAUCAACAGCCUAUUGAUAAUGCAAAUUUAUUCACGUGGAAACCAUUUGCAGUUCUCGAAAACUUUCUUUACAACUUGACAACGGGAGUAUUUAUCGUCUUCCCCAUAAAAUGGCUUCUUUAACCAAAGGUUAUGUUUUUAAAAUUAUCUUCUGCUUUUGAGAAAAAUAUGUGUCAAUGAGAGCACAGCUUUAGAGCAGCGCCUACGCCGGGGCAGAGAAGUCAUUCUAACUCUGGGGGCGGGCUCGUCUGCGGAGUCACGUGCUCUUUGUCCCUUCUGUGGAGUGUUGGUCCAGAAUUCAGCCUGACCCUGAGGUGGCCUGACUCAAAGACGAGACCAGCCUAUGUCAUUACAUAUAUACUGGCGGCAAUGCCCUCCCCACCCCUCUGUCAUUUUCACCUAGGGAGGCCGGAAUGAGAGGCAGUGAAAUGUGACUGCUUUCUCUGGUCAAAACCAAGCCUGUUCUGGGCAGGCAAGACAGCAGCAGAUGUUGGUUUGGGCUCAUUCAGAAAGCCUCCAGAUGGGAUAAAUGUUCAAGUUUCCUUAUGAGUGGCCCUUCCCCGGGAUCUUCCUCAGGGCCAUCCCAGAACUCGCCUGCUUUCAGAGCUGCUUAGUGGGUUCCAUGGCUUUGCUUUCAGACUUGGAUCCCAGUAAGAACUCACAUGAAGGACUUAAUUAACCCAUCUUUCUCCCACUCUCACUAUAAUGUAUAUGUGUGUGAUGUGUGUAUAUAGUAUACGUAGUGUACGUGUGUAUAAUACACACACACACCCCCACAAACACACACACACACACUUUACACAGAGGGAGAAUCUAAUAGUUGCUUAGGUUCAAAUUUCCUUCCAUAGUUUAACAGCCAACAACAACAAAAACAAACAAUCCCUGCAUCUUGUCACCAGUGACCACAGUGCUUUUCCCACAACGCUAAUUUGUAACAGCCUCUUAUCUGUUGUUGAGGUAAAGUGGAACACAAUGACUAACCCUGUCAUGACUAAGCAUGUAGGCAUAAAUCACUCCUGGAUCCUCCUUCCUGAGGAGGGACAUGUGCACAAACAGCGAACGUGGAAUGGCGGGCUGAUGCGGAAUCUUAAUGGCAAUAAUGUGAUUUGCGACAGCAACAUCAAAAGAUUUUACAUUUAAGUCUUCUGAGAAGGAACCUGUGGUUUAUGUAUUUUAACCAUUAUCUCAUAGACAAAUCGUAAUUUGUAGCAAGGUAGUAAGAAAUCCUCAAAAAUCAGGUUCUGGAUAGAAAAUGCUUCUAUCACCAAGGGAAGUAGAGCAGUCGCCUACGCCACAUCAUGGCACCACCUGAUUCUCCGCUGCCUGCUACCUACUUGUCAUCAAAAAUGGCAGGGAAAAUGCGAAAGAAGAAAAAGACAGUAUUACUUUACGUGAGGACAAGAACAUCCAGAGAGGUGCUCUGACUCUCCCAGUCAUGCAGUUAGGAGUAAGCAACACAAUCGGGACGGGAACCCAGGUUUCUAGUUUCAUCUUAUGAGUGUCAACGACUUGGAAAACGGAGACUGCCUUCCCCAACCUGGACAGAGCUCCAAAGAGUAGUGCAGUGUCCACGCUGGUUCUGCGUUUGCAGCCUCAAGAUAUUCUGACACCACUCUAGGAUCCUGAAACACAGGCCAAGGACUUUCUCUGUGUUGAACACCUUCCUGGGAGGCUAAGCAGUUACAGAAUCCAGGAGUGAGAGCUGCUGGCAUUGAUUUUAUUUUGAUGUCAGAGGAAUGAGCCACAGAUGCUGGAAAGUCUCUAGAAAACACCCAAUUGUCAAUCUUCAGUUCUGUGAUUGUAAAACAUGAAAUGUUCUCUUGCAAUCAUCGUCCAUGUGUACACUUCUUGCUUUAUUAUCAAUCAUUUUAAAUGGCUGGUGUACACAGCUUAGUGUUAGGGUCAAUCACCUGAUAAUCACUGUGUAAGGGAAGCUGAUGAUGCACACGGAUAUGAGGCCAUCAAAUCAUCUGUCUAAUCUAGACAGUUGCAUGAGUUUAAAGAGGAAACUGGACACUUGUGGAAGCUGCAUUUACUCUAGAACCAUUAUGGAACGAGUUAGCACAUGUGGAACAUUGAUUUGCCAGAUGGAACACCCUGAAAGAGUUAAUUCAACCUUGCGACUAUCAACACACUCCAGGCACACAGCUGAUGAACUGAGACUAUCUG